ACAUAUAAACAUACAUUUUAAUCUCUAUUAAAACAAUUUUGGUCCUAUUACAACUAUUGGUCCAUCUCAUUGUUUUAGUUGUACAUAAUACUCCCACUAUGCUUUUAAAACGGUUUUUAAAGCAAGAGUAUAUGUUACUACUAACGUAAGGUUUGCAUUCAUUUGAUGGACUAUAUAGUUGCCUUAGGGCCUUAGGAUGACUAUGAACCUUUG
This 213-nucleotide long non-coding RNA is filed under the name Malus domestica (apple). RNAcentral's name for it is "long non-coding RNA (MDOM_LNC018302)". The record is from RNAcentral. Lineage: Eukaryota; Viridiplantae; Streptophyta; Magnoliopsida; Rosales; Rosaceae.